CCUACGGGUGGCUGCAGUGAGGAAUAUUGGUCAAUGGACGAGAGUCUGAACCAGCCAAGUAGCGUGAAGGAUGACUGCCCUAUGGGUUGUAAACUUCUUUUAUAUGGGAAUAAAACGUUCCACGUGUGGGAUUUUGUAUGUACCCUAUGAAUAAGGAUCGGCUAACUCCGUGCCAGCAGCCGCGGUAAUACGGAGGAUCCGAGCGUUAUCCGGAUUUAUUGGGUUUAAAGGGAGCGUAGGUGGAAUGUUAAGUCAGUUGUGAAAGUUUGCGGCUCAACCGUAAAAUUGCAGUUGAAACUGGCAGUCUUGAGUACAGUAGAGGUGGGCGGAAUUCGUGGUGUAGCGGUGAAAUGCUUAGAUAUCACGAAGAACUCCGAUUGCGAAGGCAGUUCACUGGACUGCAACUGACACUGAGGCUCGAAAGUGUGGGUAUCAAACAGGAUUAGAUACCCCUGUAGUC
Molecule: ribosomal RNA, 460 nt
Filed under: uncultured bacterium
Lineage: Bacteria
Description: partial 16S ribosomal RNA
Rfam family: Bacterial small subunit ribosomal RNA
Source: RNAcentral